Etheostoma spectabile (orangethroat darter) is the source of this 224-nucleotide long non-coding RNA. RefSeq lists it as uncharacterized. Lineage: Eukaryota; Metazoa; Chordata; Actinopteri; Perciformes; Percidae. The record is from RefSeq and is a predicted model, not a curated record. The transcript is spliced from 3 exons.
UAAGAAUCUGUUUGAAGCUUUGCUGUCAAUUCAACGAAGCUGCUGCAGUGUGCCCGAUGCUGUUGAAAGAAACGGGUGUGUGUUUAUGUGUGAAUGAGACAAAAGUCUCACCAUUUGUGGGAUGGCAGGGACCAGCCAAUCAGUGCUUUUGUUUGGGUUUGCAGAAAAAACGUGUUAAGUAGACUGCUAGGUUUUGUUCACGGAGUAAGCGGUGAAAGUGACUG